GAAAUGCGAUAAUUAAUGUGAAUUGCAGAAUUCAGUGAAUCACCGAGUCUUUGAACGCACAUUGCGCCCCCUGGCAUUCCGGGGGGCAUGCCUGUCCGAGCGUCAUUGCUGCCCUCAAGCACGGCUUGUGUGUUGGGCUUCCGUCCCUGGCAACGGGGACGGGCCCAAAAGGCAGUGGCGGCACCAUGUAUGGUCCUCGAGCGUAUGGGGCUUUGUCACCCGCUCCCGUAGGUCCAGCUGGCAGCUAGCCUCGCAACCAAUCUUUUUAACCAGGUUGACCUCGGAUCAGGUAGGGAUACCCGCUGAACUUAAGC
RNAcentral lists this unclassified non-coding RNA (314 nucleotides) under plant metagenome. Its description in RNAcentral is "partial contains 5.8S ribosomal RNA, internal transcribed spacer 2, and large subunit ribosomal RNA". The stretch from base 1 to 105 matches the Rfam family "5.8S ribosomal RNA", at positions 50 to 154 of the family's 154-position model. The record is from RNAcentral.